Monopterus albus (swamp eel) is the source of this 343-nucleotide long non-coding RNA. RefSeq lists it as uncharacterized. The record is from RefSeq and is a predicted model, not a curated record. Lineage: Eukaryota; Metazoa; Chordata; Actinopteri; Synbranchiformes; Synbranchidae. The transcript is spliced from 3 exons.
GUAAAGGUAGUGACACCCAGGGAAAGGAGAGAAGAAGAAAACACGUUGGUGUGUAAAUUGGUGAAGAAGAAAAAAUGCAGACAUGAAAUAUGCUGAGUAUGUGGACUGUAUCUUAGGAUGUCAACUCGAGGAUGUGCUAGACAGUGCUACGUGAGUGACCAGUUGGAUGGUACAACAGAGCCCGCUACCCCGGACCUUCCUGCUACUGCUUGCACCUGGACCUUAGGACUUGUUAUUACUCCGCCAUCAGAGGGCUACUGGGACCCUUUUGCCAUUUCUUUGGACACACAGAGGAGGAGGUGUCACACCUGUGCUGCAGCUCCGAGUCAUCCUCAAAUACCCC